AAAUCCUGUACAUGCAUAAACAUCCUCGGUUUUGCCAAAUGCUUUAUAAAUAAAACUUGUAACAAACAAAAGUUUGUUUGUCUAUCUGAUAUCAUACGUGUUAUCAUCUUACUUCUUAUCUCAUUUGUAGGUGAAGAUGGCAUCUCACGCUGAAAGAAACGCGCCAUUUAUAUUUUGGUGCGUUAAGAAAAUUUGGGGAGAACAACUCAGUUAUAAAGUAAAUACACCAGAGGAUAUCAAUAAAACCCCAAAUAAUCAAAGCGGAAUGUACAUAUUUUACUUAGACUCGGGAGUACAUCAGUAUCCUAUAUAUGUCGGUAUUACUGGCCGUAACUUCCGACAACGAUUUAAAGAGCACCACGAUAAACAAACAGGCGUGAUUUACAAAUGUAAUAACGGAGAGUUCCCAAAGAAUCAACCUCCCGUGAGAUUACCAUUAAUAGCACUUGUAAUUCCAAUUCCUUAUCCAAUGCAAUCAAAACUGAUGGAAUCUGUUUUCUUAGAAGCAUACAAUUUCUGUUUAAAUACUGAGGAAAAUGGCGAAAUCCGACUAACCGUUGAUACAGACCAACAGUUCAAGCCAGAAGAUUCAAAGCAUAACUUUGAUAUUACGUUUGGAAAUGUAAUGAAAGAAAUUCAGGCCGUGUAUAAUCAAUACAAUCAUAGAUCAUAGUGAAUUUAACAGAAACUGAUGGACUUUUCAUCUGAUCAACAAUGACAUUUGUUUUAUAGUUUAACAAUAAACUUGUACAAACAUACAAUA
This is a long non-coding RNA of Mytilus californianus (California mussel), 763 nucleotides long. RefSeq lists it as uncharacterized. Lineage: Eukaryota; Metazoa; Mollusca; Bivalvia; Mytilida; Mytilidae. The record is from RefSeq and is a predicted model, not a curated record. The transcript has 2 exons.